This 74-nucleotide transfer RNA is filed under the name Bacillota bacterium. RNAcentral's name for it is "tRNA-Ile". It matches the Rfam family "tRNA". From Rfam's summary of the family: Transfer RNA (tRNA) molecules are approximately 80 nucleotides in length. Their secondary structure includes four short double-helical elements and three loops (D, anti-codon, and T loops). RNAcentral also lists the same sequence under 2 other names. The record is from RNAcentral. Lineage: Bacteria; Bacillati; Bacillota.
GGGCCCGUAGCUCAAUGGGUUAGAGCGGCGGACUCAUAAUCCGCGGGUUGCAGGUUCGAGUCCUGCCGGGCCCA